RNAcentral lists this ribosomal RNA (499 nucleotides) under uncultured bacterium. Its description in RNAcentral is "partial 16S ribosomal RNA". It matches the Rfam family "Bacterial small subunit ribosomal RNA", at positions 28 to 507 of the family's 1533-position model. The record is from RNAcentral.
GACGAACGCUGGCGGCGUGCCUAAUACAUGCAAGUCGAGCGGACUUUCAAGAAGCUUGCUUUUUGAAAGUUAGCGGCGGACGGGUGAGUAACACGUGGGCAACCUGCCUGCAAGACGGGGAUAACUCCGGGAAACCGGGGCUAAUACCGGAUAAUAUCUUCCUUCGCAUGAAGGAAGGUUGAAAGGCGGCGCAAGCUGCCGCUUGCAGAUGGGCCCGCGGCGCAUUAGCUAGUUGGUGAGGUAACGGCUCACCAAGGCGACGAUGCGUAGCCGACCUGAGAGGGUGAUCGGCCACACUGGGACUGAGACACGGCCCAGACUCCUACGGGAGGCAGCAGUAGGGAAUCUUCCGCAAUGGACGAAAGUCUGACGGAGCAACGCCGCGUGAGCGAAGAAGGUCUUCGGAUCGUAAAGCUCUGCUGUCAGGGAAGAACAAGUACCGUUCGAACAGGGCGGUACCUUGACGGUACCUGACCAGAAAGCCACGGCUAACUACGUG